RNAcentral lists this ribosomal RNA (645 nucleotides) under uncultured marine eukaryote. RNAcentral's name for it is "bacterial SSU rRNA". It matches the Rfam family "Eukaryotic small subunit ribosomal RNA", at positions 613 to 1257 of the family's 1831-position model. The record is from RNAcentral.
UUGCAGUUAAAAAGCUCGUAGUUGGAUUUCUGCGGGGGCGGGGCGGCCGGUUGCUUAUAGCAACUCGAGCUAGCACUUCCCCUGCAUCCUGCCGCGAACCGUGCUACCAUUAGUUUGGUGGCGCUGGGGAUCGGCUCGUUUACUUUGAGAAAAAUAGAGUGUUCAAAGCAGGCCACACGCCUUGAAUAAGUUAGCAUGGAAUAAUGAUAAAGGACUUCGGUUCUAUUUUGUUGGUGUUCGGGGCUGAAGUAAUGAUUGAUAGGGACAGUUGGGGCGGUCAGUAUUCCAAAGCGAGAGGUGAAAUUCUUAGACCUUCGGAAGACUAACAGCUGCGAAAGCGUUCCGCAAGGAUGUUCCCUUUGAUCAAGAACGAAAGUUGGGGGAUCGAAGACGAUCAGAUACCGUCGUAGUCUCAACUAUAAACUAUACCAGCUAGGGAUCGGCCGACGUUUACUUAUAUCGACUCGGUCGGCACCUUAUGAGAAAUCAAAGCAUCUGGGUUCCGGGGGGAGUAUGGUCGCAAGGCUGAAACUUAAAGGAAUUGACGGAAGGGCACCACCAGCCGUGGAGCCUGCGGCUUAAUUUGACUCACACGGGAAAACUUACCAGGUCCAGACAUAGUAAGGAUUGACAGAUUGAUAGCUC